UGGGGAAUAUUGGACAAUGGGGGCAACCCUGAUCCAGCAAUGCCGCGUGUGUGAAGAAGGUCUUCGGAUUGUAAAGCACUUUCGACGGGGACGAUGAUGACGGUACCCGUAGAAGAAGCCCCGGCUAACUUCGUGCCAGCAGCCGCGGUAAUACGAAGGGGGCUAGCGUUGCUCGGAAUGACUGGGCGUAAAGGGCGUGUAGGCGGUUUACACAGUCAGAUGUGAAAUCCCCGGGCUUAACCUGGGAGCUGCAUUUGAUACGUGUAGACUAGAGUGUGAGAGAGGGUUGUGGAAUUCCCAGUGUAGAGGUGAAAUUCGUAG
RNAcentral lists this ribosomal RNA (321 nucleotides) under uncultured bacterium. RNAcentral describes it as "partial 16S ribosomal RNA". It matches the Rfam family "Bacterial small subunit ribosomal RNA", at positions 355 to 693 of the family's 1533-position model. The record is from RNAcentral.